AAACGAUGUCUACUAGUUGUCGGGUCUUAAUUGACUUGGUAACGCAGCUAACGCGUGAAGUAGACCGCCUGGGGAGUACGGUCGCAAGAUUAAAACUCAAAGGAAUUGACGGGGACCCGCACAAGCGGUGGAUGAUGUGGAUUAAUUCGAUGCAACGCGAAAAACCUUACCUACCCUUGACAUGGCUGGAAUCCUGAAGAGAUUUGGGAGUGCUCGAAAGAGAACCAGUACACAGGUGCUGCAUGGCUGUCGUCAGCUCGUGUCGUGAGAUGUUGGGUUAAGUCCCGCAACGAGCGCAACCCUUGUCAUUAGUUGCUACGAAAGGGCACUCUAAUGAGACUGCCGGUGACAAACCGGAGGAAGGUGGGGAUGACGUCAAGUCCUCAUGGCCCUUAUGGGUAGGGCUUCACACGUCAUACAAUGGUACAUACAGAGCGCCGCCAACCCGCGAGGGGGAGCUAAUCGCAGAAAGUGUAUCGUAGUCCGGAUUGUAGUCUGCAACUCGACUGCAUGAAGUUGGAAUCGCUAGUAAUCGCGGAUCAGCAUGUCGCGGUGAAUACGUUCCCGGGUCUUGUACACACCGCCCGUCACACCAUGGGAGCGGGUUUUACCAGAAGUAGGUAGCUUAACCGUAAGGAGGGCGCUUACCACGGUAGGAUUCGUGACUGGGGUGAAGUCGUAACAAGGUAGCCGU
RNAcentral lists this ribosomal RNA (694 nucleotides) under uncultured bacterium. Its description in RNAcentral is "bacterial SSU rRNA". It matches the Rfam family "Bacterial small subunit ribosomal RNA", at positions 804 to 1503 of the family's 1533-position model. The record is from RNAcentral.